AUUGAACGCUGGCGGCAGGCCUAACACAUGCAAGUCGAACGAGUGGCGGACGGGUGAGUAAUGUCUGGGAAACUGCCUGAUGGCGGGGGAUAACUACUGGAAACGGUAGCUAAUACCCCAUACCAUCAGAUGUGCCCCGAUGGGAUUAGCGCGUUGUUGGGGUAACGUCGCACCAAGGCGACGAUACCUAGCUGGUCUGAGAGGAGGACCAGCCACACUGGAACUGAGACACGGUCCAGACUCCUACGGGAGGCAGCAGUGGGGAAUAUUGCACAAUGGGCGCAAGCCUGAUGCAGCCAUGCCGCGUGUAUGAAGAAGGCCUUCGGGUUGUAAAGUACUUUCAGCGGGGAGGCGUGACCCGCAGAAGAAGCACCGGCUAACUCCGUGCCAGCAGCCGCGGUAAUAC
RNAcentral lists this ribosomal RNA (406 nucleotides) under uncultured bacterium. RNAcentral's name for it is "partial 16S ribosomal RNA". It matches the Rfam family "Bacterial small subunit ribosomal RNA", at positions 30 to 526 of the family's 1533-position model. The record is from RNAcentral.